Molecule: ribosomal RNA, 1025 nt
Filed under: Neosartorya sp. SAUFS5-3
Lineage: Eukaryota; Fungi; Ascomycota; Eurotiomycetes; Eurotiales; Aspergillaceae
Description: SSU rRNA
Rfam family: Eukaryotic small subunit ribosomal RNA
Source: RNAcentral
UUUAUACGGUGAAACUGCGAAUGGCUCAUUAAAUCAGUUAUCGUUUAUUUGAUAGUACCUUACUACAUGGAUACCUGUGGUAAUUCUAGAGCUAAUACAUGCUAAAAACCUCGACUUCGGAAGGGGUGUAUUUAUUAGAUAAAAAACCAAUGCCCUUCGGGGCUCCUUGGUGAAUCAUAAUAACUUAACGAAUCGCAUGGCCUUGCGCCGGCGAUGGUUCAUUCAAAUUUCUGCCCUAUCAACUUUCGAUGGUAGGAUAGUGGCCUACCAUGGUGGCAACGGGUAACGGGGAAUUAGGGUUCGAUUCCGGAGAGGGAGCCUGAGAAACGGCUACCACAUCCAAGGAAGGCAGCAGGCGCGCAAAUUACCCAAUCCCGACACGGGGAGGUAGUGACAAUAAAUACUGAUACGGGGCUCUUUUGGGUCUCGUAAUUGGAAUGAGUACAAUCUAAAUCCCUUAACGAGGAACAAUUGGAGGGCAAGUCUGGUGCCAGCAGCCGCGGUAAUUCCAGCUCCAAUAGCGUAUAUUAAAGUUGUUGCAGUUAAAAAGCUCGUAGUUGAACCUUGGGUCUGGCUGGCCGGUCCGCCUCACCGCGAGUACUGGUCCGGCUGGACCUUUCCUUCUGGGGAACCUCAUGGCCUUCACUGGCUGUGGGGGGAACCAGGACUUUUACUGUGAAAAAAUUAGAGUGUUCAAAGCAGGCCUUUGCUCGAAUACAUUAGCAUGGAAUAAUAGAAUAGGACGUGCGGUUCUAUUUUGUUGGUUUCUAGGACCGCCGUAAUGAUUAAUAGGGAUAGUCGGGGGCGUCAGUAUUCAGCUGUCAGAGGUGAAAUUCUUGGAUUUGCUGAAGACUAACUACUGCGAAAGCAUUCGCCAAGGAUGUUUUCAUUAAUCAGGGAACGAAAGUUAGGGGAUCGAAGACGAUCAGAUACCGUCGUAGUCUUAACCAUAAACUAUGCCGACUAGGGAUCGGGCGGUGUUUCUAUGAUGACCCGCUCGGCACCUUACGAGAAAUCAAAGUUUU